CUCCCCCACCUUCUUCCCUAAAAAAAAACUCCCACACCUUCAUCCCUAUCGGCAGGAAGCCAGGAACCUGGCCGCCCAUCCCCAACUCCCGCCGAACCUUCUUCCCCUGCGGCCGCGCCGAAUCCCCGCCCGACCUUCUUCCCGGCGGCGGCGCCGAAUCCCGCCUGACCUUCUUCCCGGCGGCAGGCUGCACGGCCCCAAUCCACCGCCGGAGCGCGAUUGACUUCAGCGCACGGGAGCAGAGCCAGCCACGCCGCCGCACGACUGCAGCUGCCGAACAUGGCGAGGGCUCCGCCGCUGCUCCGGCGGCUCCUCCUGGCCGAUCCUGCUACUACUUCCUCCUCGUCCUCCAGGCGCAGGACUCCGUGCCGCCGCGCAACGACCUCCCCUCCAACGUACCCGGACCGGCUGCUCCUUCUCCGUCUCCUCUUCCUCUCGGUUACAAGACAACGUCAAGUCGGACACAUCGCAGCUGCCGCAGUUCAGAUAUGAUGUUGGACCAGUUCAGAAGGUGUAGCAGACUGGAAGACAACCGCUGCUGUUUAACUUGUGUAUUUCAGGCUGUGCAAUUGUGUCUUUCGGAGAGUUCUUAAAUGUUGAUUUCGGGGAAGUUCUAUUUGUACAUAUCUGCAGUCCAUUUUUUUGGCACAAAAUAGUUUCGCCACUUUAUUUUUGUAUGUACAUGUUUAUCUUUCUUUUACAGCAUCAAGCGGUUCAACUAUUAACUUUGAGAAGUUUAUUUGAGAUGCAGGUUUGCGCCGCCAUUGACUUCCAGGAGCGCCGUCAUGGACUCUCAGGUACACCUCUACCGGUGAACUUCGCUCACAUCGUUCGUACAUAUGCAAAAUUUCUUCGAGGCCUUUGUGUAUUUGUUUUGUAGUAAUUUAUUUUCGCA
Non-coding RNA from Lolium perenne, 895 nucleotides. The record is from RefSeq and is a predicted model, not a curated record. Lineage: Eukaryota; Viridiplantae; Streptophyta; Magnoliopsida; Poales; Poaceae.